This 770-nucleotide long non-coding RNA is filed under the name Arachis ipaensis. RNAcentral's name for it is "long non-coding RNA (AIPA_LNC001998)". Lineage: Eukaryota; Viridiplantae; Streptophyta; Magnoliopsida; Fabales; Fabaceae. The record is from RNAcentral.
UCCCCUUUCACUUGCAGUCUCCCUCACUCCUUCACUCAACCUCAACCGAAGGAAAAUCCUAUCCUCCACUACUGCCGUACUCCCUUGCCAUUGUCGCUGUCCGUCGCAUGCAGCGUUGGCUUCAAUCUUCAUCCUGUGACCCUGUCGGUGUCUCCUAGUCUCCAGGACUUGGUCUCUUCUCCAUAUCCGUUGUCAUCAUCUACGCGCCGUCCUGCUCGUUGUCCUGCUACUCGUCUCUCUUGCCAUUCUGCUCGAAGGUAAGUGUUUGGGCAAAGGAUAAUUUUGUGGUGUGUUUGGAAGCUGAUGCUGAGAUUGUUCAUGCUCUGCUGAACUAUAGAUGCAGUUGUAUUGUGUGUUUUUUUCUUAUUCUUGAGCUGCUUGAAGGUCAAUGCUAUUGCUCAGUUCUUCAUCUUCAUUUUCUUUUUCAAAUGCUCCAUUCAGAAGGGAAAAAUAGAUCUAGCUUGGAAAGAAGGGGUGGAGAGGUCACGGGAGGAGGCGACGUGAAGGGUGAAGUCGUCGCUACUACCGCGGUGUUUAAGCUCGAAGAAGGCCGCCAGAACUAUUACCUCUGUUGUGCCUUGCCAUCAUGCUGGCACUGAUUUUCAUCUGCCCUCACUCUUGGUCUACUUCAAAAUCAUGCUAAAUUUAUGAGUGUCCUCCUUUUUGAAUGUGUUUUAAAUAAUAAGAUUAGACAUUGAUUUUUCUGAUUAUAAUUUUGGUCUGAAUAUUUAGUAAUAUUGAGCAUUUAAUUUUGCUUAUUAUUAUCAUUU